Molecule: ribosomal RNA, 459 nt
Filed under: Triticum aestivum (bread wheat)
Lineage: Eukaryota; Viridiplantae; Streptophyta; Magnoliopsida; Poales; Poaceae
Description: partial small subunit ribosomal RNA
Source: RNAcentral
AUGGACAAGUUUCUUCUCAAAAGAAAAGCAUCAUCACAGGAUGUUCCGGAAGACAUAAAUUGGGAAGAGGAGAUCCAAUAUGAUCCGGGCAAGAGAAAAUUUAUAGAGCAUUAUCAUCCUAAUUUAAAAGAUCUAGUAAGCAGAAAGUAUCUGUUGAAUGGACCUUGUCAACCAAGAGAGAUUGAUUUUGAAUCCUUAGAUUUUGGGGGUAAACAGAGAAAGUUCAAUCCCGAAUGGUUUGAUGAAUUUGAGAGCUGGGAUCAUAGUCAAAAGAAAGAAGCAGGAUAUGAGGCAUUCGUUGUGAAUGGUUGGAAGAGCUGGAACAUGAAAUCAAGGUUAAAAGAACAUGUUGGUGAGGUGGGCAGUGUCCAUAAUCAAGCAAUGAAAAAAUUACUUGAUUUUCAGAAAAAAAAGACCAACACAUUGAUGUUGCUAUGCAGGUUCAAGGUGAAACUUUGA